CCAGCAGCUGCGGUAAUUCCAGCUCCAAUAGCGUAUAUUUAAGUUGUUGCAGUUAAAAAGCUCGUAGUUGGAUUUCGGGUGGGUUCUAGCGGUCCGCCUAUGGUGAGUACUGCUAUGGCCUAUCUUUCUGUCGGGGACGGGCCCCUGGGCUUCACUGUCCGGGACCCGGGUUCGACAUGGUUACUUUGAGUAAAUUAGAGUGUUCAAAGCAGGCGUUCGCCCUGAAUACAUUAGCAUGGAAUAGCACGAUAGGACUCUGGCCUAUUCUGCUGGUCUGUAGGACCGGAGUAAUGAUUAAGAGGGACAGUCGGGGGCAUUCGUAUUUCAUUGUCAGAGGUGAAAUUCUUGGAUUUAUGAAAGACGAACUUCUGCGAAAGCAUUUGCCAAGGAUGUUUUCAUUGAUCAAGAACGAAAGU
Molecule: ribosomal RNA, 416 nt
Filed under: uncultured eukaryote
Lineage: Eukaryota
Description: SSU rRNA
Rfam family: Eukaryotic small subunit ribosomal RNA
Source: RNAcentral